GGAAGGUUUGUGUACAAGUUACAGUUUGUGAGAUUCUUAUUCUGGGGUUGGAUUUAAGUUAGGAAUUACUGAAACCUAUAUGAGAGGAACACUAACAUUGAAAGAAUUCGGAAGGGAUAAAGAAAAGAAUACAAGCUUUUGUUCUUAAAUAUAUCUUCAUUUUUCUUCUUACACCUCUCUCUUUAUACUUUCUUCCGCAGUUCAAAAGCAAACAAAAUGGAC
This 222-nucleotide long non-coding RNA is filed under the name Vigna radiata. Its description in RNAcentral is "long non-coding RNA (VRAD_LNC016334)". Lineage: Eukaryota; Viridiplantae; Streptophyta; Magnoliopsida; Fabales; Fabaceae. The record is from RNAcentral.